ACAGGGGAGCAAAUGGUAUGCAAGAACUUUCAAAAUUUUCCUCUGCUCACACAAGAUCCAUGCCCAAUGGCACGCUUUAUAUAAUUCGAGCUCGUGGUCUCGUUAAUAACUAAAGACCGACCAAUUAUUUGGAAAACGAAAUGCUUGAAGCCAUUGUGAAGAAAAAUUUCAAAGUCCUUGCAUACUAUUUUCUCACCAGU
RNAcentral lists this microRNA precursor (200 nucleotides) under Gossypium raimondii (Peruvian cotton). RNAcentral's name for it is "miR8776d stem-loop (gra-MIR8776d)". The record is from miRBase by way of RNAcentral. Lineage: Eukaryota; Viridiplantae; Streptophyta; Magnoliopsida; Malvales; Malvaceae.